GAUGAACGCUAGCGGCAGGCUUAAUACAUGCAAGUCGAGGGGCAGCACGAAUAGCAAUAUUUGGUGGCGACCGGCGCACGGGUGCGUAACACGUAUACAAUCUACCUUAAACAGGGGGAUAGCCUUCCGAAAGAGAGAUUAAUACCCCGUAAUAAAUUGAAUGGCAUCAUUUGAUUUUGAAAGCUCCGGCGGUUUGAGAUGAGUAUGCGUCUGAUUAGCUAGUUGGUGAGGUAACGGCUCACCAAGGCGACGAUCAGUAGGGGAUCUGAGAGGACUAACCCCCACACUGGUACUGAGACACGGACCAGACUCCUACGGGAGGCAGCAGUAAGGAAUAUUGGUCAAUGGAGGCAACUCUGAACCAGCCAUGCCGCGUGCAGGAUGACGGCCCUAUGGGUUGUAAACUGCUUUUAUACAAGAGAAAACCCUGGUACGUGUACCAGGUUGAUAGUAUUGUAAGAAUAAGCAUCGGCUAACUUCGUGCCAGCAGACG
RNAcentral lists this ribosomal RNA (493 nucleotides) under uncultured bacterium. RNAcentral's name for it is "bacterial SSU rRNA". It matches the Rfam family "Bacterial small subunit ribosomal RNA", at positions 28 to 517 of the family's 1533-position model. The record is from RNAcentral.